GAGUAGGAGGAGUCGAAUGGAAUGCUAAUGUCGUACGUACGACUGUGCUAAGUUUGGUAACAAAAAAUAAAUUCGCGUAAUUACUAAAAUAAAAGAAGAGGAGAAUUCCCGCCGUGUAAACAAAGAAGUCACAUCCUCCACUCCAGUGCUGCACCCGCUCGCUCACUCACACUUGAAUUUUCAAGUUCUUGUCGUUCUUUCCUUCAAAGUCUCAUCUGGUCCGUCCUCAUCUCUGUUUCAACUCAAAUUUCUUUUCUUAUUUAUCAUUAGCUUUUUUAUCCUUCUUUGCCUCCUAUUUGAUCAAAAUUUUGAAGGAAGCCUCUGAAUUCAGUCGAAUCCAGCUAUAAGAGAAGAUCGAUACUUGAUCGGUCAAUUCGAGUUUGGUGAUGAAGAACAGUAGGGAGGUAAAACUGUAGGGAGCAGCGGCGGAGGAACUUGCGGAGCCUAGGGCUACCUUUACUUCCUCUUGUGCCUUUU
Molecule: long non-coding RNA, 477 nt
Filed under: Coffea arabica (coffee)
Lineage: Eukaryota; Viridiplantae; Streptophyta; Magnoliopsida; Gentianales; Rubiaceae
Description: long non-coding RNA (CARA_LNC004866)
Source: RNAcentral